RNAcentral lists this transfer RNA (66 nucleotides) under Acinetobacter variabilis. It matches the Rfam family "tRNA". Rfam says of the family: Transfer RNA (tRNA) molecules are approximately 80 nucleotides in length. The record is from RNAcentral. Lineage: Bacteria; Pseudomonadati; Pseudomonadota; Gammaproteobacteria; Moraxellales; Moraxellaceae.
GGUAUCGCCAAGUGGUAAGGCACCGGGUUUUGAUCCCGGCAUUCGUUGGUUCGAAUCCAGCUACCC